RNAcentral lists this ribosomal RNA (469 nucleotides) under uncultured bacterium. RNAcentral describes it as "partial 16S ribosomal RNA". It matches the Rfam family "Bacterial small subunit ribosomal RNA", at positions 28 to 507 of the family's 1533-position model. The record is from RNAcentral.
GACGAACGCUGGCGGCGUGCUUAACACAUGCAAGUCGAACGGAAAGGCCCUGCUUGCCGGGUGCUCGAGUGGCGAACGGGUGAGUAACACGUGGGUGAUCUGCCCCUUAUUUUGGGAUAAGCCUGGGAAACUGGGUCUACUACUGGAUAGGACCAUGCUGUAGGUGGUGUGGUGGAAAGAUUAGUUUCGGUAAGGGAUGAGCUCGCGGCCUAUCAGCUUGUUGGUGGGGUAAUGGCCUACCAAGGCGUCGACGGGUAGCCGGCCUGAGAGGGUGGACGGCCACAUUGGGACUGAGAUACGGCCCAGACUCCUACGGGAGGCAGCAGUGGGGAAUAUUGCACAAUGGGCGCAAGCCUGAUGCAGCGACGCCGCGUGGGGGAUGACGGCCUUCGGGUUGUAAACUCCGUUCAGCCAUGACGAAGGCCUUGUGGUGACGGUAGUGGUAGAAGAAGCACCGGCUAACUACGUG